AUACGGAGGGUGCAAGCGUUAAUUGGAAUUACUGGGCGUAAAGCGCGCGUAGGCGGCUAAGUAAGUCGGAUGUGAAAGCCCUGGGCUUAACCUGGGAAUUGCAUUCGAUACUGCUUGGCUAGAGUAUGGUAGAGGGUAGUGGAAUUCCUGGUGUAGCGGUGAAAUGCGUAGAUAUCAGGAGGAACAUCAGUGGCGAAGGCGGCUACCUGGACCAAUACUGACGCUGAGGUGCGAAAGCGUGGGGAGCAAACAGGAUUAGAAACCCCGGUAGUCC
RNAcentral lists this ribosomal RNA (274 nucleotides) under uncultured bacterium. RNAcentral's name for it is "partial 16S ribosomal RNA". It matches the Rfam family "Bacterial small subunit ribosomal RNA", at positions 523 to 796 of the family's 1533-position model. The record is from RNAcentral.